Molecule: ribosomal RNA, 492 nt
Filed under: uncultured bacterium
Lineage: Bacteria
Description: partial 16S ribosomal RNA
Rfam family: Bacterial small subunit ribosomal RNA
Source: RNAcentral
AGUGAACGCUGGCGGUAGGCCUAACACAUGCAAGUCGAGCGGCAGCACAGUAAGAGCUUGCUCUUACGGGUGGCGAGUGACGGACGGGUGAGGAAUACAUCGGAAUCUACUUUUUCGUGGGGGAUAACGUAGGGAAACUUACGCUAAUACCGCAUACGACCUACGGGUGAAAGCAGGGGAUCUUCGGACCUUGCGCGAUUGAAUGAGCCGAUGUCGGAUUAGCUAGUUGGCGGGGUAAAGGCCCACCAAGGCGACGAUCCGUAGCUGGUCUGAGAGGAUGAUCAGCCACACUGGAACUGAGACACGGUCCAGACUCCUACGGGAGGCAGCAGUGGGGAAUAUUGGACAAAGGGCGCAAGCCUGAUCCAGCCAUACCGCGUGGGUGAAGAAGGCCUUCGGGUUGUAAAGCCCUUUUGUUGGGAAAGAAAAGCAGCAGGUUAAUACCCCGCUGUUCUGACGGUACCCAAAGAAUAAGCACCGGCUAACUUCGUG